UACGAACCGUGCGAACGUUGUUCGGAAUCACUGGGCUUAAAGGGCGCGUAGGCGGGCCACCAAGUCCGGGGUGAAAUCCUCCAGCUUAACUGGAGAAUAGCCCUGGAUACUGGUGGUCUCGAGCGAGGUAGGGGCAGCUGGAACUUCCGGUGGAGCGGUGAAAUGCGUUGAUAUCGGAAGGAACGCCGGUGGCGAAAGCGAGCUGCUGGACCUCUUCUGACGCUGAGGCGCGAAAGCCAGGGGAGCAAACGGG
RNAcentral lists this ribosomal RNA (253 nucleotides) under uncultured bacterium. RNAcentral's name for it is "partial 16S ribosomal RNA". It matches the Rfam family "Bacterial small subunit ribosomal RNA", at positions 524 to 776 of the family's 1533-position model. The record is from RNAcentral.